GUUGGAAAUAAGGUUACAUAUAGUACGAUGCGACACAUUAUCAGAUGGUGGAAGAAUAUUUGCUUGCAAUUAAAAUUUCCAGAUGGCAAUAUAUUUCUGUAUGGACAAGUACAGUGUUAUCCAAAGGAAAACAUAAUGAGAAGUUUAAUGAAGUAGUCCGGCGUACGGAGUUUCUAUGAAUCAGCUGAAACUGAUAAAGCGUCUCACAAGGGUUCAUAGUGACAAACACGUGUUUGGGACAAGGUACUAAAUCAAUUGAUCUGUGUGCGAAGAAUCCUGUGCAAAUUAGUAGUGUAAAGUGGUGGUCGAAAACCUGGAGCUUGAACGGAAAUGACUGCACACAUCAAAGUAAAGCACUUUUACUGAAACUCACGGAUAUGCAACUUUAUGACAGUUCCUCUACG
Non-coding RNA from Styela clava, 404 nucleotides. The record is from RefSeq and is a predicted model, not a curated record. Lineage: Eukaryota; Metazoa; Chordata; Ascidiacea; Stolidobranchia; Styelidae.